GCAAACAACAUGUGUGUAACAGAUCUUUUUCAUACAUUAACAUGACAGAGACCCUAAGGGUUCUCUUAAUGUAAAUUAUCAAAAUUCUUUAACAUUUGCAAAUUGGAGUAAAUAAACCACGGUAAAUGCAGAUAGAACCUUCUCAUUCUGAAAAGUCAUUUUCCGCUUGGAAUUAUAAGGUUCUAUCUGGCAAAUCAUUCAUUGAAGCAUUACUUGCCAAGAAAUACAAUAAAAAAUAUAUAUAUAGUUUAGUGUUGUAACAACAUGUUGAUGCUUGAGAAAGUUAAAAUUUUGCUUUCUGUAACAUUUAUUUCAUGUUUUAGGAUAAAUAUUUUUUCUUUUAAAAUUACGCAUACAAGGCUGUCCUAAUUUUUUUUUUUCCAGUGCAGCUGUUAAUUUUAUCUAAUUAUUAUGUUCAUAUUUAUAAAAUUUUAUUCUAAAGUGUUACCAAUUAUUGAAUUAUAUUUAUUGAAUUAUAUGCUCCAUGAAACAAAUUAAGUAUUUGCCCUUCAAGGCUUAAUAUUAAACGUAUAGACUUUAAAAGAAACAGACUAUGAGCAAAUGAGUUUAAU
This 572-nucleotide long non-coding RNA is filed under the name Danio rerio (zebrafish). Its description in RNAcentral is "lncRNA si:ch211-251b22.1 (ENSDARG00000097213.2)". The record is from RNAcentral. Lineage: Eukaryota; Metazoa; Chordata; Actinopteri; Cypriniformes; Danionidae.